Molecule: ribosomal RNA, 2899 nt
Filed under: Escherichia coli
Lineage: Bacteria; Pseudomonadati; Pseudomonadota; Gammaproteobacteria; Enterobacterales; Enterobacteriaceae
Description: bacterial LSU rRNA
Rfam family: Bacterial large subunit ribosomal RNA
Source: RNAcentral
UAAGCGACUAAGCGUACACGGUGGAUGCCCUGGCAGUCAGAGGCGAUGAAGGACGUGCUAAUCUGCGAUAAGCGUCGGUAAGGUGAUAUGAACCGUUAUAACCGGCGAUUUCCGAAUGGGGAAACCCAGUGUGUUUCGACACACUAUCAUUAACUGAAUCCAUAGGUUAAUGAGGCGAACCGGGGGAACUGAAACAUCUAAGUACCCCGAGGAAAAGAAAUCAACCGAGAUUCCCCCAGUAGCGGCGAGCGAACGGGGAGCAGCCCAGAGCCUGAAUCAGUGUGUGUGUUAGUGGAAGCGUCUGGAAAGGCGCGCGAUACAGGGUGACAGCCCCGUACACAAAAAUGCACAUGCUGUGAGCUCGAUGAGUAGGGCGGGACACGUGGUAUCCUGUCUGAAUAUGGGGGGACCAUCCUCCAAGGCUAAAUACUCCUGACUGACCGAUAGUGAACCAGUACCGUGAGGGAAAGGCGAAAAGAACCCCGGCGAGGGGAGUGAAAAAGAACCUGAAACCGUGUACGUACAAGCAGUGGGAGCCUCUUUAUGGGGUGACUGCGUACCUUUUGUAUAAUGGGUCAGCGACUUAUAUUCUGUAGCAAGGUUAACCGAAUAGGGGAGCCGAAGGGAAACCGAGUCUUAACUGGGCGUUAAGUUGCAGGGUAUAGACCCGAAACCCGGUGAUCUAGCCAUGGGCAGGUUGAAGGUUGGGUAACACUAACUGGAGGACCGAACCGACUAAUGUUGAAAAAUUAGCGGAUGACUUGUGGCUGGGGGUGAAAGGCCAAUCAAACCGGGAGAUAGCUGGUUCUCCCCGAAAGCUAUUUAGGUAGCGCCUCGUGAACUCAUCUCCGGGGGUAGAGCACUGUUUCGGCAAGGGGGUCAUCCCGACUUACCAACCCGAUGCAAACUGCGAAUACCGGAGAAUGUUAUCACGGGAGACACACGGCGGGUGCUAACGUCCGUCGUGAAGAGGGAAACAACCCAGACCGCCAGCUAAGGUCCCAAAGUCAUGGUUAAGUGGGAAACGAUGUGGGAAGGCCCAGACAGCCAGGAUGUUGGCUUAGAAGCAGCCAUCAUUUAAAGAAAGCGUAAUAGCUCACUGGUCGAGUCGGCCUGCGCGGAAGAUGUAACGGGGCUAAACCAUGCACCGAAGCUGCGGCAGCGACGCUUAUGCGUUGUUGGGUAGGGGAGCGUUCUGUAAGCCUGUGAAGGUGUACUGUGAGGUAUGCUGGAGGUAUCAGAAGUGCGAAUGCUGACAUAAGUAACGAUAAAGCGGGUGAAAAGCCCGCUCGCCGGAAGACCAAGGGUUCCUGUCCAACGUUAAUCGGGGCAGGGUGAGUCGACCCCUAAGGCGAGGCCGAAAGGCGUAGUCGAUGGGAAACAGGUUAAUAUUCCUGUACUUGGUGUUACUGCGAAGGGGGGACGGAGAAGGCUAUGUUGGCCGGGCGACGGUUGUCCCGGUUUAAGCGUGUAGGCUGGUUUUCCAGGCAAAUCCGGAAAAUCAAGGCUGAGGCGUGAUGACGAGGCACUACGGUGCUGAAGCAACAAAUGCCCUGCUUCCAGGAAAAGCCUCUAAGCAUCAGGUAACAUCAAAUCGUACCCCAAACCGACACAGGUGGUCAGGUAGAGAAUACCAAGGCGCUUGAGAGAACUCGGGUGAAGGAACUAGGCAAAAUGGUGCCGUAACUUCGGGAGAAGGCACGCUGAUAUGUAGGUGAAGCGACUUGCUCGUGGAGCUGAAAUCAGUCGAAGAUACCAGCUGGCUGCAACUGUUUAUUAAAAACACAGCACUGUGCAAACACGAAAGUGGACGUAUACGGUGUGACGCCUGCCCGGUGCCGGAAGGUUAAUUGAUGGGGUUAGCGCAAGCGAAGCUCUUGAUCGAAGCCCCGGUAAACGGCGGCCGUAACUAUAACGGUCCUAAGGUAGCGAAAUUCCUUGUCGGGUAAGUUCCGACCUGCACGAAUGGCGUAAUGAUGGCCAGGCUGUCUCCACCCGAGACUCAGUGAAAUUGAACUCGCUGUGAAGAUGCAGUGUACCCGCGGCAAGACGGAAAGACCCCGUGAACCUUUACUAUAGCUUGACACUGAACAUUGAGCCUUGAUGUGUAGGAUAGGUGGGAGGCUUUGAAGUGUGGACGCCAGUCUGCAUGGAGCCGACCUUGAAAUACCACCCUUUAAUGUUUGAUGUUCUAACGUUGACCCGUAAUCCGGGUUGCGGACAGUGUCUGGUGGGUAGUUUGACUGGGGCGGUCUCCUCCUAAAGAGUAACGGAGGAGCACGAAGGUUGGCUAAUCCUGGUCGGACAUCAGGAGGUUAGUGCAAUGGCAUAAGCCAGCUUGACUGCGAGCGUGACGGCGCGAGCAGGUGCGAAAGCAGGUCAUAGUGAUCCGGUGGUUCUGAAUGGAAGGGCCAUCGCUCAACGGAUAAAAGGUACUCCGGGGAUAACAGGCUGAUACCGCCCAAGAGUUCAUAUCGACGGCGGUGUUUGGCACCUCGAUGUCGGCUCAUCACAUCCUGGGGCUGAAGUAGGUCCCAAGGGUAUGGCUGUUCGCCAUUUAAAGUGGUACGCGAGCUGGGUUUAGAACGUCGUGAGACAGUUCGGUCCCUAUCUGCCGUGGGCGCUGGAGAACUGAGGGGGGCUGCUCCUAGUACGAGAGGACCGGAGUGGACGCAUCACUGGUGUUCGGGUUGUCAUGCCAAUGGCACUGCCCGGUAGCUAAAUGCGGAAGAGAUAAGUGCUGAAAGCAUCUAAGCACGAAACUUGCCCCGAGAUGAGUUCUCCCUGACCCUUUAAGGGUCCUGAAGGAACGUUGAAGACGACGACGUUGAUAGGCCGGGUGUGUAAGCGCAGCGAUGCGUUGAGCUAACCGGUACUAAUGAACCGUGAGGCUUAACCU